UACGGGGGGGGCAAGCGUUGUUCGGAAUUACUGGGCGUAAAGGGCUCGUAGGCGGCCAACUAAGUCAGACGUGAAAUCCCUCGGCUUAACCGGGGAACUGCGUCUGAUACUGGAUGGCUUGAAUCCGGGAGAGGGAUGCGGAAUUCCAGGUGUAGCGGUGAAAUGCGUAGAUAUCUGGAGGAACACCGGUGGCGAAGGCGACAUCCUGGACCGGUAUUGACGCUGAGGCGCGAAAGCCAGGGGAGCAAACGGG
RNAcentral lists this ribosomal RNA (253 nucleotides) under uncultured bacterium. RNAcentral's name for it is "partial 16S ribosomal RNA". It matches the Rfam family "Bacterial small subunit ribosomal RNA", at positions 524 to 776 of the family's 1533-position model. The record is from RNAcentral.